AAGAUUGGGAAUUUAAAAAACAUUUGGUUACUUUAUAAUCAUUAUACUUUUAAUGAGAAUUUAUAAGUCCUUAUCUUACCCGUUCGGCUAACGACCCUCCACCAGUCAAGCAAGCGGUGGGUGAGAGUGGACACCCAUUAAGUUGCCAUUUUAUAGGCAACAACCUUAUACCCACCUUAUAGACCGGCUUCGUGAAUGAGGCGUACUAGCGGUAAGACUGACUUUACUCUUAUACAUAUAUAUAUUAUUAACUUAUAAUAUUAUAAAGUAUAAGGGUUGAAUUUUAACUUUUAAAAUUCUAAGGGCUAACUUGGAAUUAAAGUAUUCAUAANNNNNNNNNNNNNNNNNNNNNNNNNNNNNNNNNNNNNNNNNNNNNNNNNNNNNNNNNNNNNNNNNNNNNNNNNNNNNNNNNNNNNNNNNNNNNNNNNNNNNNNNNNNNNNNNNNNNNNNNNNNNNNNNNNNNNNNNNNNNNNNNNNNNNNNNNNNNNNNAUCAUCUAAAUUCAUAAGAUCAAGAACAUGAAUAUCCAUAUCAAAGUUUCAAGACCAUAUGAACACAUAUAAUCAUGAAAAAUUGAUAUUUGCCAUUGUAAAUGGAUUAGAACAAACAUUACACCAUCUAAAACAAGUUUAAUAACACCAAAACAGUUUAGGGUAAUGUUUCUAGUCCAUUUCCAGCAGCAAAGGUCGAAAAUCUGCACUCUGUCACUCCUACUUGCCGAGUGCAUGAACCUACUCGGCAAGUAGGUUGAAGAUACAAGUGAACUCGGCGAGUCCCCCCACGAACUCGGCGAGUUCAUCAGGCAGACAACAAGUUUUUCGACUUUUUUCAACUUUUUAGCACAAAUAACAAACAAACAAGCCUAGGGUUUGAUACCACUGAUCGGUNACUUCCUAAGUGUACAUGCAACCCUAAUAACCUUGGAUCUAUGUUUGUCUAAUUAUCAUGCAAAGUUGAUUUCCAAGGCUAUGAUCCUAUCUAGCAUACAUGGGGAACAAUUUUAACAUAAAUAAUAGAUAGAAUUACAUACCUUCUUGUUGUAAGUGUUCCUUGAAACCUUGUGAGCCUAGCACCCCAAGUGUGAUGCCUCAAAUGCUUCACACAACACCAAAUGCUAUGGAGUACACAUGGAGAGAAUGUAUAACACACUAAAAUUGGCCAAGCCCUCUUGUUUCACUAGUAGUGCCGAUUUUGGGAGAACACAUGACCUUUAUAUAGUGUUGACACAUCUAGGGUUACACCAUGUAAACCCUAAUGUGUCAUGACUCGUCAUUUCCAUGACCCAUGGGUUUGUAACUCCCAUGGAGCCUCUUGUGAGCAUCCAAUGUAUUUAACCCAACUUGAUUAUCCAUGGAGCCUCUUAGCCCACUAUAUAAGUUAUGGAUGAUUUACAUAAUCAACCCAUAUAUUUAAUUAGUUAUCUUUUGAUCACUUAAUUAAUUCUAAAAUGAAUUCUUGACCAAGCUAAUUAAAUAAUAUUAUUAAUAUAUUAGAGCUUAUAACAUAUUAAUAAACCAUAUGUGUUAACUCUCUCAUUUAGUCUAUCCAGUUGCAUGGUGCCAUGCAACCCAAAUGGACCAUGCCUGGUCGGGUCAAGUACAUACCAGAAAUAGUUAUGGACUUAGACACCUUAUCCAAUAGGAAUGAGGCGCCAGACUUUAUUUCUUUUAAACUCAUUGAGUUCAUCUUGCAUUGCUUGGACCCAAUCAGAAUGAUCAAGGGCAGUAUUGACUGUCUUAGGCUCAACUUUGGAUACGAAGGAAUUAUACAUACAGAACUCUACUUUGGAGAAUAAGGAGGUCUGUUUUGCCUUCACUUGGGAUCGGGUUAGGAAUUUUUCAGAUACAUUACCCACUAUCUAAGACACAGGAUGAUCUCUGGUCCAUUUAGUGAGCGGAGGAAAGUUUGGAUCAUAGGAUGGAUCCAAUUCGGCGUUGACCAUUUCUUCCAACUCAGAUUGAUUAUCGUCAUCAUAGAGCAUAUCAGAAUUCCCCCCCUCGACAGAUGAUGAAUCAUUUGGAUUUUCAAGUUGGUUUGGACCUUCGGGUGCAAUAGAACUCUCAGGUGUAGUCGGGCUUUCGGGUGCUAUAGGACUUUCGGGUGUAGCCGGGCUUUCGGGUGCUAUAGGACUUUUGGGUGUAGCCAGGCUUUCGAGUGCUACAGAACUUUCGGGUGUAGUCGGGCUUUCGGGUGUUACAGGGAUUAAGUUCUCCCCUUGAAAAUAUGAGUCUGGUUGAUAUGAAGAAACUUGAUUCUCCCCCUCAACUGAAGUGUCGUGCUAAGGAGGUUCGUUUCGAACUUGUUCUCCUUCUCCCAUUUGUUUGGCUACAUCUUCGACGAUCUGCUUCAGACGAUCAAUUUUGUUGUCUUCCGCUUUGGCUUCUGAGAGAGUGGCUUUCUCAGGUUCAUCAAAUAGGUCUACGAAUUGAUCAAAUAAAUUAGCAAUCGUGGCUAUGACUUGACUUGUUUGAAAGAAAAUCUCUCCAAUUGCUUCUUCAGUAGUCUUUAGUUUCUUGAUGUAGCUGUCAUCGAAAGUCACAUAAUAGGUUUCUUCAAUCUUUCUAGAACGCCUAUUUAAAACUCGGUAUGCCUUUGAAGUAAGAGAAUAUCCCAGAAAAAUUCCCUCAUCAGCUUUAACAUCAAACUUGUUAUGACGUUCUUUGGAGUUGAAGAUGAAGCACCUUGAAUCGAAUAAAUGGAAGAAUUUUACAUUCGGAUUCCUGUUAUUGAUGAUCUCAUAAGGAGUGAGAGAGAAGCGCUUGUUGAAAUAAGACCUAUUCUGCAUAAAACAUGCUGCAGCAAUAGCAUCAGCCCAAAAAUAUAAGGGAAGUGACGCAAAACUUAGCAUAGUUCGGGCUGCCUCACACAAGGAUCGGUUUCGCCUUUCAACAAAACCAUUCUGUUGAGGCGUAUAAGGGGCUGAGAAGUUAUGACUGGUUCCUUUUUCUGCCAAGAAGUCUUCGAAUUCUUUGUUCUUAAAUUCCAGUCCAUUGUCGCUCCUAAUGUUUCAAACGACUUUUCUCAGUUGCACUUCAACCUUCUUGAUAAACAUCUUUAGCUUAGGAGUGGCCCAGAUUUGUGCUUCAGAAAGAACACCCAUGUAAAACGUGAGAAAUCAUCAACAAUAACAAGAAUAUAAUUGCUACCGCCAAUGCUCUCGAUUGAUGAAGGACCACACAAGUCGAUGUGAAGCAACUCAAGUGGUUUAAUAACUUUUGUGUUUAUAAUUGAUGGGUGACUUUGACGAUCUUGUUUCCCCAUUUCGCAUGCAGCGCACAAGUGUUCUCGAUCAAACUUGAGCAAUGGAAGACCCUGAACAUGACCUCCGGUGACNUAACUGUAGUGACUAUCCUUAUUCAGGCCACUCUUUGACUCGAACACCUUUUCAUGAAUCAUAUACACACAUUAUGCACUUGACCUAGUAGUAGAAAUUAGGUCGGAGUCUCAUAGAAACUUAAGUCAAAGUUGUAGACUAGGACUAGUAUACUUGAUUCCUCAAUUUCGCUUGAAUCUCGGAAUCACUACAUAGAAUGCCAAUAAACCGAUAAAAAAAUAUUACAAACAUUAUUUCUAACUUGAAUAAGAGUUAUGAAACUCUAAAAUAGUUUGAAGUCUCAAAAUUUAAUUAAUUUUGAUAUCCAAAGACUUACGAACUCUCAAAAACCAUAAAUGCCCUAAAAACUCAUAUUUAUAAACUUUAACCUUAAAAAUUUCUAUAAAAAUAUUUAUGAAACUUAUAAUAUGAUCUUCUAAUAAUAAAAAUUAUGAGAAUGCAUUUAAGAAAAACAAAAUUUAAGUCAUUAGUAUUUAACCUUAUUUCUAUGCAAAAAAAUCAACGUUUGUGUGAAUGAAAAUUAAAAUAAGGUGCAUAUUUUAUAAAAACUUGAUAUUUUUAUAAAAUAAAGUUAUAAUUUUAUAAAAUUUAAGAGAGGGAGACCCUCUCUCCACUCCAAAGUCGGACUCCCUCCUCCCAAGAUGCCUCUCCUCUUCCCAACACAAAAUGAUUCUUCUUCUCUCUCACACUCCAUCUUCCCUCAUUUUCUCUCAUUUCUCUCUCACACAAUCACACACAUUUUCUCUCUUCCUCCCACUAUGAACCACGAAAUUUUACAGCCAACAUGUCCAAGAACACUCAAGAUACUCAAAAUCUUCAUCAUCUAAUGGUGUUCAUUAAGGUAGAACACGAUUUCCUUUUAUUUUCCUUCAAGUUUUCAUGGAUUUUCUUGCAUUUCUUUGUUCUUCUACACCAUUCUAAUGAAAGAUCAUGAACACAUAUACAUAAACACACACAAAAUCAUAGUUUUGAUGAUGAUGGAUGUAGGAUUUCACCCAAAAACAACAUGCAUGUUGUUAAUGGUGAAAUCCAAGGACCAAAACCUAAGUCAAAAUCAACAUAAUGCCCUUUUAUACAAGUUUUGGGGUAAAAUUACUACAUGCAUCCAAAGUUUUCUAUCAAAAACGAUUUUUGAACAUUUCAAUCUCAUGAAUGGUCUUCAAAACAACAUGUAUGUGAUGAUCUUCAAGCUUAGAUGCUUGAUGAUCAAAGUUGUUGUUAAAAUGCUUUCAAAUAUGUUAAUGAAAGAUUUAUUUCCAAAUAAAUAUCUAAAAAUCAUUUUCUGACCAAAUCCGAUUUUUCCCAGAUUCUCGUCAACAAAAUAAGAUGCUCUGUAAAUUUCCAGAAGAUAAUUCAUUUUUCCCGAAUUAUUAUAAUUGAUGCAAUAAAAUAGGGCAAUAAAUCAUAUAAAAUACUUCAAGAGGUCUAUAAAUCGGGAAUAAAUUUGUGGGUGACCCCUAUGGUUAACAAUGACCUCUUAUUAGAUUUCAAGGAUUUAUGUUGCUGUUUAGUAUGAUUUUACAUUUUCUUUUUGUUUGGGUAUAAAAAAUCAGAAAACCAGUUUAGGGAAUGUGAAAAUUAUAUCUAACAAUUUGCUCAGCUCUUACCUGUGGUGGGACACUGAGAAGAAUAAUUUGAGAAGUUUUCAUCAUGCCUUCCUAUUUUCCCCAAUUUUUGGUAACUAUAAUGGCCUAAAAAUAGGAAAAAUAGUUCUCAUUAUCCAAAAUUCAUGCAAUUUUACCAGAAUAUCAUUUUUUACAGUAGGAGGUCACAUAACACUUUUGAUGAUUUGUCUCUACAAUAUACUAUUUUUCUCCUAUUUUCUAAGGUUAAAUACACUUAAAUACACAUAAAUACCCAAAACAGGAUUAUACAAUAUGAAAACCACUUUUGGUAUUUUUCCCAGAUUAAAUGCACUGUAAAUGAUGUUACAAAAAUUUUUGGUAAUUUAUUUUAACUGUUUAUUAUUUAUUCUUCAAUUAAUGAUUAUUUAUGGGGAUAAAACAAGGAAAAAUAGAAAUGCCCACUGAAAAAUACCUUUUAUAUUUUUCCCAGCCUAGUUAUGUAUAAUAACAGUUAAAUUAAAAGUUUGGAUAAUUUUGGAAACUGUUUUUUAUUUAUUUCAAUUUUUAUUAGAAUAAAUGCUCAAAAAUCAUAAAAUUUGGUUAAACAGUUUAUAAAUCGAUUUUUAUAUUUUUCCCAGCUCAAUAAUGCUUAGUAACAGUAAUACAAAACGUUUGGGUAAUUUUGGAAACUGUUUUCUAUUUAUUUCAAAUUUUAUUAGAAUAAAUGCAUAAAAAUCAUAAAAAUUGGUUAAACAGUUUAGAAACCCAUUUUUAGAUUUUUCAAAGAUUAAGUAUGUGUAAUGACAUUACUAUAAAUAGUUUGGGGCAUUUUCUUAUCUGAUUUCUAUUUUUCAUGAAUUUUUAUAUAUUUAGAGAAUUAAAUAUAUGAAAAAUAGUCAUACAUAUCCAUAAUCCAUGAAAAAUUAUCUAGUAGUCUUUUAACACAUUUAGAACCAAGAUCUGAAGUUUGGUAAUUUUUAUUAACUGUUUAGUAUUUUUCAUAAUUUUAUGGUUAUUCGAGAAUCUAAAAUGGUGAAAAAUAGUUAGACAAAUCAAAAAUUCAAGAACAUUUAUCUUGAGGUCUUCGACUUCAACUAAAACUAAAAUGCAAAGUUUGGGAAAUUUUAGAAUNAAAAUUGUAACCAAUUAAUAUAAAACCGAUAUUAGAACAUAAAUUUGGCAUUUCUCUAUAUGUAGAGUUUAGUAUAUUAGCAUUAGAUUUCGACAUGGAAACUCACUAGUGUGUGUUUGAUGUCGUAGGAUCCCGGUAUUAAGACGUUGGUGUAUUCCGAGGCACCACUUGUACCUACUCGAAACAUUGUGAGUAUUCACGCACUCCCCUAUUUUCAGUUUUUAUGUUUUGGGGUGGAAAAGCAUGUCCAGAAAAACUAUUAUUUGCAUGUUGUAUUUAAAUUGAUUUGUAUCAAACAUGAUUGCUAUUGUAUUGCUAUGUCUCUCUAUGUAUGUCUAUGCAACACGGAACAUGAGAACUUAUCGUACUAAGGCCCUUCCCUUAUCUCUAACCAUUAACUCUUUGAGCCAAUGGUCAUUGUGGAUAGCGCUAUUAGGAAUUGACAACUCCUCACUCGCCCUAUUACUGGAGUGCAUGAUACCAUAUUCAUCUAUGGGACGAUAAGCAUAGAUCUUGAUAGGGCUUCAGUCAUAGGUUUGGUUGAGACUCAUUGUUUGCUCAUACACAUACAAACUUGUUUCUCGUUAUAGCAAUAAACUUGUAUCCAUUAAUAGCAAUCAACUUUGUUUCUCAUUAAAGCAAUGUACUUGUAUUUACGAAAAGACUUAUUUCAAGCUCGAUUUUAUAAACUUGUGAACUCACCAACUAUUUUUAUAGUUGACGCUCGUUUUACAUGCUUUUUCAGGAAUUAUCGAGUAAGUGGCACUUAGGGACACUUCACUUUUAAGAGCAUUCACAUGUGUUGUAUUUCUAUUUUCAUUGUAAUUUCUUGUAAAAGUUGUUCAAACCCAUUGUAAAUUUGUAAUGAUUUUAACACUAUGGUUGGUAUUGUCUUUUAACUUUUUCUAUGAAACCCUUUAUAUUGCCACGCCUCGUGUUUCCGCUUUAGCGGGGUGUGACAUAGGGUAAAAUGACUAUUUUGCCACUAACCAAGUCCAAGCCAAAGUCAACUUCCAGUUGACUCGACUCGCCGAGUUGGGUCGUCAACUCAUCGAAUCCCUAACCCUUUACCCGUCCUUAUCCACGACUCUACUCGUCGAGUUUGGCAACGACUCGACAAGCUCCUCCUCUAUAUGAACAUUGAAUGAACCUUCAUCCGACUUGACGAGUUGUAUGAACAACUCGUCGAUUUCACCUUCAUCUAAUGAACAAGCCCUGUCCUUGACUCGUCGAGUUGUAUGAACAACUCGUCAAGUUCGUCUUCAUGUGUUGGCAUAUUGCCUUGGACUCGCCGAGUCUGUUCUAGCACUCGUCGAGUCCCAUGAACUAUAGGUCUAAGGGUAAGUCCAAUACGUUGGGUCACUCCUUCGGACCUUCUACUACCCUUCUAACACCCAACUGAGUUCUUUUGACCCUCAACAGAUAUGGGAAUUUAUGCCUUGGACUCGUCGAGUCCCAAGAACGGACCCGCUGAGUCGAUAACGUCAAUGCCCUAUUUCCUCAAUUUCUUAUGUAUAACCUUUGACCAAAUGAUAGAUCCAAGCCCCUAAGCUCGAUCUAGCACGUAAAGUUACAAACUUUACGUGCAUGCAUGGGACUUUUGAGCCUAAAAGGCUCUAAAAUGGCUCUUAUGUUGCAUGGGACCUUCCUUGAGCGCAAAAGCACCCAAAUAUACCUUGUGACUCCUCCCAAGACUUAGAUCCGAGGUCUUGACCCCCAACAAUGUUUGCAAUCAUGGUUGGCCACCUCAUAUGGCUUAAAAAGCCCUAAAUCUUCCCCAAAAAGGGAUCUAACAAAAGAACAAGCAAGGUAUAGACUUUAUACCUUUCAAAGACUAAAAAUGAUGCAGCAAACUCAAAUUCUUCAGUCUCCUCUUCAUCCUUCUAUGCUCUUCCUUCUUCUUUGUGAACAAAACUACCAACAUCACCAAAAAAAAACCUUAAAUCUUGCACCAAAACACUUAGGGUUUGCUAUGGAGGGUUUCUAGGAGCAAUAGGGACGAGUGUUGGCUGAAAGAGAUGAUUAAAUAGGGUGCAAACCCUCAUAUUAGGGUUUUUUUCCAGUCAGAGCCUACUCGUCGAGUCCGGGACCCGACUUGACGAGUCUAACACUUAAACCCCGCGUCCCAUCCCGCUUCUACUCGAUGUGUUGGUCCUUCAACUCGACGAGUCCCAGGCCAAAAAUGCAAAACACUUAAAUAAAUUACAUACCAAGAACCAGGUGCAACAAAAAAUGAGUUUAUUACUAAAUUUAGACUAAAAAUGCAAAGUAUUUGAUUUUGGGGUCAAAAUUGUAAAAUUUACAAAAAUUGGACCAAAAAUGUAACUUUUUGUGAAUAAAAGUUGGAAAUGACAAAUGCAUUAGUUUUGGACUGAAAUUACUAUUCAAAUAAAGUUUGGGUGGAAAAUGUCAAUAAAAAUGGUUUAAGAACCAAAAAUGUAUAUUUUCAUAAAAAGGGACUAAAACUGCCAUUUUUAUAGAAAAAGGUGCCAUAAUGGCUAAUCUAAAUGUUUUUUGGCCAAAUAAACGAUUAUAACUUUUAGGGCUAAAAAUAUCAAGUUUAUAACGCCUAGUUUUAAAAAAUAUAUAUACACAUAAUAAAAACUUCGUUAUAAUUCAAACGUUAAAAUGUUUCGUUAUUACUAAUAAACAUUUAACGUACCACGAAUACCUACAAUACGAACUUAAACCCGAUAAAACAUAAGCGAUUCAAAAGUUGGGCUUAAAUACCUUCUAUAUGUGCUAUUGGGUCUUUGUGGCCCAAUAUCUUGGUUAUUGGGCCCGAUAUAUUCAAACAUGUUUAUUGGGCCUCCAGUGACCCAAUUACAUGCCUAAGGGACCCUUAGUGGCUUUUACAUGCCCGUUGGCAUUGCUAGUAAGGUUCAAAUCAAACAUAUACAUGAUGGGCCAACGUACCCGUCUCAUACUCGAAAGCCUAUAAUAACAUAAAGGAUUAGUGGGCCUCUAUUGCCCUCUUCUCUUCGUCUGUUAGGCUUAUCUCGGUUAUUCAAGUAAACAUAAAAUUAGGUCGACGAACAAGGUUAUUCAAAUUCAUUUGGAUUUAGUGGGAAAUAACGGGUGAUAGUAUUAAGUGUCGGUCGUAGUCUGUAGUUAUAACCAGAGUCUCCUGGAAGGCGAGCGAGAGUUUGUGUAUAGAUCUAUACGGGGAUGACUCCCCCACACCUGAGCAGUUCACUACAGCUAGAUUCGGCCAGUCUCGGGUCACAAAAUCUUAAAUCAAUUCCGGCGUUCGCUAUAAUGCCAAGACAGAUGAACUAGUCAUUAUUAUGCAUGGUUAUAAUGACUCACAUCGAGAUCUAACACCACCUAUGUAAUCAAGGGAAAACAUACUCAUUCGUGGUGUCGAUAUAAUACCAUAAAACUAUCAUACUAUUUAUAUCGGAAAACAUCGGGUUUUCCGGGGGAACAACAUUAUUCAUUCCUAUACACACCAACUAUAAUACGAUAAUCAAUUUUGAAUAACAAUCACUUCUACUUGUUUUUGAAAUCAUAUACACAUGCACUUAUGGGAUCAUCGCAUUUUUUCACAACAAUCUUUGUAAAGAAAAUAUCGGAUUUUCUGGGUUUUACAUCAAUACAAUCAAGUUUUAUAUAAAACAUACUUAUGACCACACCAACAUUAAAUAUGUUGACGUUUUCAAAAUAACUUGUAUUCUCUGGUAAUAGAUAAGCCGAAGAAAAAUACCAAGUAUGUUAGGAUGUUAUGUUUUGAAAAAUUCUCGAACAAUUUAUGUUACGGAUGUGUAAUGUUUAAACAAUGUACUUGAUGUGAAGAAUGUCACUUGUACUAUGUAACUUUGGUGAUGUAUAUGUUGUUCAUGUAUAUUCAUUGUGAUGAUAUUUCAAUUUAAGUCACGUGAGCCCUCGGACGUUUCCGCCAUCUGGUUUGGGGGGUGUGAAUACAAGUAUUUUGUGAUGAUCUAUGUGUGUUUGCAUGCUAUAAGUGAGUUCUUUAGUUUUUGGUUGUGAUAAUAUGAAAUAUUUGUUGUAUUUCGAUAUCUAUAAUAAAAGGGUGAAAUAAUCAUGAACAAGAACAUAAUGAACAACAUACCUCAUGGGUCUAGGGGUCUUUAAGUUUAAAAAGUGAAAAACAAAACCAAUAGAACCUUAAAAGGGUGAUUUUUGCGAAAAUAACAAAGAUUGGGUAUAAAUUGUAAUUUUCGGUUUAAUGAGGGUUAUGAGUUGAAUAUUUGCGUAAAAGCUGAUUUUUAUGAAAAUGAAACUUUACAAAGGGUUAAAAUCAUACAUUUUAGCUUAAUAGGCAUAAAAGUGGGCCUAAUUGGUUUUGGGCCCAAAGUUGCGAAAAAAUUUAGAAUUUGAGGGGCUGAAUUGGAAAACUUAACAAACUAUGGGUCUAAAAUGUAAAUAAACUUUUUCAGGGGUUAAAAAUGCGUUUAUUACAAAAUUUGGACUAAAAAUGCAAAGUUUUUGAUUUUGGGGUCAAAAUUUUAAAACUUACGGAAAUUGGGCCAAAAAUGUAACUUUUUCAAAUAAAGGCUGGAAAUGACAAUUGCAUUAGUUUUGGACUGAAAUUACUAUUCAAAUAAAGUUUGGGUGGUAACCGUCAAUAAAAAUGGUUUAAUGACCAAAAAUGUAAAUUUUCGUAAAAAGGGACUUAAACUGUCAUUUUUAUAGAAAAAGGUGUCAUAAUGACUAAUCUAAUUGAUUUUGGGCCAAAUAAAUGAUUUCUACUUUUGGGGUUAAAAAUAUCAAGUUUAUAACACAUAGUUUUAAAAAUAUAUAUACAUAUAAUAAAAACUUCGUUAUAAUUCAAACGUUAAAAUGUUUCGUUAUUGCUAAUAAAUAUUUAACAUACCACGAAUACUAACAAUAUGAACUUAAACUCGAUAAAACAUAAGCGAUUCAAAAGUUGGGCUCAACUACCUUCUAUAUGUGCUAUUAGGCCUUUGUGGCCCAAUAUCAUGUUGAUUGGGCCUGAUAUAUUCACACAUGUUUAUUGGGCCUCCUGUGACCCAAUUACAUGCCUAAGGGACCAUCGAUGGUUUUUACAUGCUAUUGGGCCUUAGUGACCCAUCGACAUUGCUAGUAAGGUCCAAAUCAAACAUAUGCAUGAUGGGCCAACUUGCUCGUCUCAUACUCGACAGCCUAUAAUAACAUACAUGAUUAGUAGGCCUCUGUUGCCCUUUUCUCUUCGUCUGUUAGGCUUAUCUAUGUUAUUCAAGUGAACAUAAAAUUAGGUUGAUAAACAAGGUUAUUCAAAUUCAGUGGGAUUUAGUGGGAAAUAACGGGUGACACUAUUAAGUGUCGGUCGUAGUCUGUAGUUAUAACCAGAGUCUCCUGGAGGGAGAGCGAGAGUUUGUGUUUAGAUCUAUACAUAGGUGACUCCCCCACACCUGAGUUGUUCGCCACAGCUAGACUCGGCCAGUCUAGGGUGACAAUCUUAAAUCAAUUCUGGCAUUCGCUAGAAUGCAAAGACAGACGAACUAGUCAUUAUUAUGCAUGGUUAUAACGACUCACAUCGAGAUCCAACACCACCUAUGAAAUCAAGGGAAAACAUAUUCAUUCGUGGUGUCGGUACAAUAACAUAAAAUGAUCAUACGAUUUAUAUCGGAAAACAUCAGGUUUUCCGGGGGAACAACAUUAUUCAUUCCUAUACACAAUAACUAUAAUACGAUAAUCAAUUUUGAAUAAAAUCAUUUCUACUUUUUUUUUUAAAUCACAUACACAUGCACUUAUGGGAUCAUCGCAUCUUUUCGAAACAGUCUUUGUAUAGAAAAUAUCAGAUUUUCUAGGUUUUGCAACGAUACAGAUAAGUUUUAUAUCAAACGUACUUAUGAACUCACCAACAUUAUAUAUGUCGACGUUUUCAAAAUAACUUGUAUUCUCAGGUAACAAUUAAGCUGAAGAACAAUACCAAGUAUGUUAGGAUGUUAUGUUUUGAUAAAUUCUCAAACAAUUUAUGUUACAGAUGUGUAAUGUUUAAACAAGGUACUUGAUGGGAACAAUGUCAGUUUUACUAUGUAACGUUGGUGAUGUAUGUGUUGUUCAUGUAUAUUCAUUGUAAUGAUAUUUCAAUUUAAGUCACGCGAGUCCUCGGACGUUUCCGCCGUCUGGUUCGGGGGUGUGAAUACAAGUAUUAUGUGAUGAUAUAUGUGUGUUUGCAUGCUAUAUGUGAAUUCUUUAGUUUUUGGUUUUGAUAAUAUGAAAUAUUUGUUAUAUUUUGAGAUCUAUAAUAAAAGGGUGAAAUAAUCAUGAACAAGAACAUAAUGAACAACAUACCUCAUGGGUCUAAGGGUCUUUGAGUUUAAAAAGUGAAAAACAAAACCAAAAGAACCUUACAUGUGUCAUUUUUGCGAAAAUAACAAAGAUUGGGUAUAAAUUGUAAUUUUCGGUUUAAUGAGGGUUAUGAGUUGAAUAUUUGCAUAAAAGCUGAUUUUUAUGAAAAUAACACUUUUCAAAGGGUUAAAAAACAUAAAUUUUAGUUUAAUAGGCUUAAAAGUGGGCCUAACGAGUUUUGGGUCCAAAGUUGCGAAAAAAAUGUGAAUUUGAGGGGCUGAAUUGGAAAACUUAACAAACUAUGGGUCUAAAAUGUAAAUAAACUUUUUCAGGGGUUAAAUAUGAGUUUAUUUCAAAAUUAGGACUAAAAAUGCAAAGUUUUUGAUUUUGGGGUCAAAAUUGUAAAACUUACGGAAAUUGGGCCAAAAAUGUAACUUUUUUCAAAUAAAGGCUGGAAAUGACAAUUGCAAUAGUUUUGGACUGAAAUUACUAUUAAAAUAAAGUUUGGGUGGUAAAUGUCAAUAAAAAUGGUUUAAGGACCAAAAAUGUAAAUUAUCGUAAAACGGAACUUAAACUGUCAUUUUUAUAGAAAAAGAUGCCAUAAUGACUAAUCUAAAUGAUUUUGGGCCAUAUAAACGAUUUAUACUUUUGGGGUUAAGAAUAUCAAGUUUAUAACACAUAGUUUUAAAAAUAUAUAUACAUAUAAUAAAAACUUUGUUAUAAUUCAAACGUUAAAAUGUUUCGUUAUUGCUAAUAAACAUUUAACAUACCACGAAUACCAACAAUACGAACUUAAACUCGAUAAAAAAUAAGCUAUUUAAAAGGUGGGGGCUCAACUACCUUCUAUAUGUGCUAUUGGGCCUUUGUGGCCCAAUAUCAUGUUGAUUCGGCCCGAUAUAUUCAUACAUGUUUAUUAGGUCUCCUAUGACCCAAUUACAUGCCUAAGGGACCCUCAAUGGCUUUUACAUGCUAUUGGGCUUUAGUGGCUCCUUGGAAUUGCUAGUAAGGUCCAAAUCAAACAUAUGCAUGAUGGGCCAACGUGCCCGUCUCAUACUCGACAGCCUAAAAUAACAUACAUGAUUAGUGGGCCUCUGUUGCCCUUUUCUCUUCGUCUGUUAGGCUUAUCUCUGUUAUUCACGUAAACAUAAAAUUAGGUUGAUAAACAAGGUUAUUCAAAUUCAGUUGGAUUUAGUGGGAAAUAACGGGUGACACUAUUAAGUGUCGUUGCUAGUGUGUAGUUAUAACCAGAGUCUCCUGGAGGGAGAGCGAGAGUUUGUGUAUAGAUCUAUACAGAGGUGACUCCCGCACACCUGAGCUGUUCACCAUAGCUAGACUCGGCCAGUGUAGGGUGACAAUCUUAAAUCAAUUCUGGCAUGCCGAUAGAAUUCCAAGACAGACGAACUAGUCAUUAUUAUGCAUGGUUAUAACGACUCACAUCAAGAUCCAACACCACCUAUGUAAUCAAGGGAAAACAUAUUCAUUCAUGGUGUCGGUACAAUAACAUAAAAUUAUCAUACGAUUUAUAUCGGAAAACAUCGGUUUUUCCGGGGAAAGAACAUUAUUCAUUCCUAUACACAACGACCAUAAUAUAAAAAUCAAUUUUGAAUAACAAUCAUUUCUACUUUUUUUUGAAAUCACAUACACAUGCACUUAUGGGAUCAUCGCAUCUUUUCGCAAAAGUCUUUGUCCAGAAAAUAUCGGAUUUUCUAGGUUUUACAACGAUACAAACAAAUAUUAUAUCAAACAUGCUUAUGAACUCACCAACAUUAUAGAUGUUGACGUUUUCAAAAUAACUUGUAUUCUCAGGUAACAGAUAGGCAGAAGAACAAUACCAAGUAUGUUAGGAUGUUAUGUUUUGAUAAAUUCUCAAACAAUUUAUGUUAUGGAUGUGUAAUGUUUAAACAAUGUACUUGAUGUGAACAAUGUCAGUUGUACUAUGUAACGUUGAUGAUGUAUGUGUUGUUCAUGUAUAUUCAUUGUGAUGAUAUUUCAAUUUAAGUCACGUGAGCCCUCAGACGUUUCCGCUGUCUGGUUCGGGGGUGUGACAUGUUGGUAUCAAAGCUCUGUUUAUAGUGAACUCGCAUAUCUACCCACACAUUGAUAUGCAACUAUAAACCCAAAGAGGAACAAAAUGACUUUGAACAAAACAAAUAAAAUAAAAUGAUAAACCCUCUUACUUGUGCGACUUAGGAAAAUGAAGAUAAUACCAAAUCAAAUAAGAUGAUCCCGACAUCUUGGUUAAAUCAGGACUGUUCAUAGUUGUAUUAAGGGGGAGAAUGUAGCCUGGUCAACUACAUUUCCUCCAGAAUACAACUAGCACAUGCCCUGGAGUGACUGCAAUGCUCGGUAAACCUAAAACAUACCCUUUUGAUUUCCACGAAGAGAGCAUCAACUCAACUUAAAUAACAACUAGAACAUGUUAGUAAUAAUAGUAGUUUAUACACACCAAAACACACACUUCUCACACCUACACCUCCCACAUAGGCAAUAUGGCAGGAAUACAACAAGACGACCCUUACUAUCAAGCUCUAGUAGUUAUGGGGAGAUUGAGGUUGGUCUAGAUGACAAUCGUGAAGAAAACCCUGAAGGAGGCCUUGCAAUGGGUCAGGAGGUGGGACCCACAGUGGGACCGGAAGAGUACGUGGUAAUUGAUUACAAAUAUGACGAUUAUGACCGGGACUUAGAUGAAGGAGAGGACGUUAAGGAGACACCUAGUAAACCCCACCCAUCGGAACCCCUAUCAAGCCCACACACGAUUCAAGAAAGUGAUACAGACUACAUACACUCUCUUGAGAAAGAAAUAGCCAAUCUCAAGCGUCAAAAAUUUGCGGCCGAAGCUAGAGUUGUUCGAGCCGAGCAAAGGGAAGAAGUAAUCACCCAGGAGUUGAACAAACUUGCUGAACUCCUUAUACGCCAACUUGACGAUUGAGUGUCAUCGUCAUCAUAACUGAUAGGAUGUACUCUACUACUUGCUAUUAUAGGUCCUACAGUAUGCAGAACCAGCCGUACCUCCUACCAGUAUUGUGUUUCUAUGUAUAUUAUGUUGUAAUAUUGUCGUAUCGUACAUUUUCCUAUGAAAUGUUUGUCCUGCAGGCAAAUUUUCCUGUAUUAAAAAUGGCUAUUUCUAGCAGAAAUGCGAUAUGUUUUAAUAUGAGGUUUCGCUUAUGUGCACAAACAAACCAUCGAAACUGUUAGAUACUCAAGAACCUUGAAACCAAAAUAACCUAUGAACUCUAUGAAUAAGAUUUAAUAUUUGUGACAAGUUUAAAAGUUUCCUACUAUCAUAAACACACCAUAGGGAUAUAGGUCGAAACAUUGUGAACCAUACGAAAAAACGCAAAAAUUAUAGAGCACCACCGGAAAUGGCCGACGUUACUUACGGACUUGCUUAUCAUCAUGCAGCAGAAGAUAUCAUUCCACAGAAAUAACGAGCACACCUGUGAAGCACCACUCUUGCAAAUGGACAACUCAACGCAAACAACACCAAUAGAGGAGGAAAUAGUGUCGACAACACUAGUCGAAGUAACGACCACGGAUACCAACGAGUGAUCGCAUAUCAAGGCACUCCAAACCCCAAGCUUAAGAAUAGUUAUCGAGAGUCAGAGAAUAAGAGAAAAGGAUAGCCGACUCAAGGAUCCUUGAAGAAACAACAUGUUAUUGCUGUCAAUGUUGCCAUGACAACUACUACACCAACACUAGGGAGAACAUAUGCUGGAAGUCUUCCAAAAUGCAACAAAUGCAGUUUCCAUCAUCAUGGAAUAUGCAGAGAGAUGGAUUGUACUAGUUGCAACAAAAAGGGCCACACAACAAGAUAUUGUAGGACUCGUCGCCAACAAUACCAGCGGCUGACCAACAACAACAACAACCACAACGAAAAUGAUGUUGGGGUUAGUUACACUUGUUACAGAUGUGGAGAAAUCGGUCAUUUCAGACGCAUAUGCCCUAAUGCUAACAACCAAGGGAAUGGAGGAUCAGGAAGAGUGUUGACCAUGAGUUAAGGAGAAGCGGUUAAGGAUCCUACUAUUGUCACUGGUACAUUUCUCCUAAGCCACACAUAUGCAUGCAUCCUGUUUGAUACCGGGGAAAGCGGAGUUUUGUGAGUAAUAAAUUCAAACACUUGUUAAAACAACAACCCCAGAAGCUUAAUGAAACCUUUACGGUGGAAAUGGCUAAUGGGAAAACAGAAUCAACUUGGGUAAUCUACGUAGGACGUACCCUAACCUUAAAUCACCACGUCUUUCAAAUAAACUUGAUACCUGUAACUAUUAGGAGUUUUGAUAUGAUUAUCGGCAUGGACUGGUUGAGCCCCCAUUAUGCCGAAAUUAUGUGUCGCGAGAAGGCCGUUCGCCUUCAUCUCCCUAAUCACGAUAACCUAAUUAUAUAUAGAGACAAGCCCAGUAUGAACCUUCAUUUAUAUGGUGUAUUAAGGCACAUAAGUGUCUACAAAAGAAGGACUUGGCAUUUCUAGCUCACAUUGUGGAUAAGUCCAAGGAAGAGGUCAAUAUUCGAGACAUUCCAGUGGCUUGCGAUUUCUCGGAUGUUUUUCCUGAAGAUCUCCUGGGAAUACCCUCAGAAAGACAAGUCGAGUUCUGAAUUGAACUUGUGUCGGGAGCUACACCCAUUGGGCUCCUGCGGAGAUGCAAGAACUGUCAAGCCAACUUAGCAAACUCUUGGGCAAAGAAUUCAUCCGACCUAGCUUCUCACCCCGGGGAGCUGUGGGUCUCGUCGUUAAGAAAAAGGACGGAUCCUUUAGGAUAUUUAUUGAUUACAGAGAGUUGAAUAAACUCACUAUCAAAAAUCGCUAUCCACUUCCACGAAUCGACAAUCUUUUCGACCAGCUUCAAGGAGCAAGUUACUUCUCUAAGAUGGAUUUGCGAUCUGGAUACCACCAACUCAAGGUCUGGGAAGAAGAUAUACCCAAGAAUGCUUUCCGAACUCGGUAUGGACAUUAUGAAUCUUUUGUAAUUCCCUUUUGUCUACCGAAUGCCCCUGUCGCAUUCAUGGACUUGAUGAAUCGGAUCUGCCGACCAUUCCUCGACAAUUUUGUCAUUGUUUUCAUCGACAAUAUCCUAGUCUAUUCUCAAAGCAAAGAGGAGCAUAGUUGACAUCUCCAGCAAAUCUUAGAAACCCUACAAACCGAAAAGUUAUACACAAAACUCUCUAAGUGUGAGUUCUGGCUCUGUAGUGUAAACUUUUUAGGUCAUGUGGUCAGUCAAGAACGGAUACACGUGGACCCUUCUAAGAUCAAAGCUAUUGAAGGAUGGACAGUCCCGACGACACCCGUUGAAAUUCGUCAAUUUUUAGGUCUCGCAGGCUAUUACAACAGUUUCAUUCAGAACUUCUCCAAAACAGCCAAGCCACUUACCAUGCUUACACAAAAGGGCGUUCCAUUUGAAUUGACAGAAAAGCAGGAGGUUGCCUUCCGAACUUUAAAGCGAGCUCCCUGUAGUGCACCAUUACUAUGAUUACCAGAAGGAGCAGAGGACUUCAGAGAUUUACUGCAAUGCUUCGAAUUGGGUUUAGGCUAUGUACUCAUGCAGCGUAGGAAAGUGCUAGCUUAUGCUUCCCGACAACUAAAGACACAUGAGGUGAAUUAUACCACUCAUGAUCUCAAAUUAGGAGCUGUGGUUUUUGCCUUGAAGAUUUGGAGGCACCACCUUUAUGGUACAAAGUGCACCAUUUUCACCGACCACAAAAGUCUCUAACACAUUUUAAACCAAAAGGAGUUAAACAUGAGGCAGCGAAGAUGGGUUAAGUUGCUAAAUAAUUAUGAGUGUGAAAUGAAGUAUCACCCAUGCAAGGCUAACGUGGUAGCGGAUGCCUUGAGUCGGAAAGAAUACUCAAAUCAUUGUGUGAAGAAUCUUUCAAUAACCAUUCAAUCCCAUCUAUCCUCACAAAUCAAAGCAGCCUUGUUCGAUGCCAUGAAGACAGAGAACAAAAUAAGCGAAGCAUUACGUGGAAUGGAAAAGAAAUUUGAAGUCAAGGAGGACAGAGCACAUUAUUUCAUGAACUGAAUUUGGAUCCCUAAACUUGGGGGGAUUCAGAGAGGUAGUCAUGAAUAAAGCCCAUAAGACACGAUACUCCAUCCAUCUGAGUUCAUAUAAAAUGUACUUGGAUAUCAAGCAACAUUAUUGGUGGCCUAACAUGAAGGCAGAAAUUGCCACCUAUGUUAGCAAUUUCCUUACUUGCGCUAAAGUGAAGGUAGAAUAUCAGAAGCCCUCGGGACUAUUACAACAACCGGUAAUACCCGAGUGGAAAUGGGAAAGGAUUACUAUGGACUUUGUGACCAAAUUACCUAAGGCUACAGAGGGAUUGGAUACCAUAUGGGUAAUAGUCGACAGGUUGACAAAAUCCGCUCAUUUCCUACCAAUAAAGGAAUCAUACAAGAUGGAAAGAUUGACAAGAACCUACAUCAAGGAAAUCGUGAGACUCCAUGGAGUACCAUUAUCUAUCAUCUCAGACCGAGAUAGUAGAUUUACUUCGCGCUUAUGGCAAUCGCUUUAGAAAGCUAUAGGAACACAACUUGAGAUGAACAUUGCCGACCACCCACAAAUGAAUCGUCAAAGUGAGCAAACCAUUCAAAGGCUUGAAGAUAUGCUUCAAGCAUUUGUGAUAGACUUUGGAAGGUCGUGGGAUACCCACUUGCCUUUAAUUGAGGUUUCGUACAAAACAUUUAUCACUCAAGCAUCAAAGUUGCUCCUUUUGAAGCAUUAUAUGGGAGUAAAUGUAGAUCACCGUUGUGUUGGGCUGAGGUAGGUGACACUCAGCUAGCGAGAGGUCAGACACCAAACAAUGCAUUGACAGGACCAAAAAUCAUACGCAAAACGACAGAGAAGAUAAUUCAAAUCAGAGCUCGACUACAAGCAUCACGAGACCGACAGAAGAGCUACGCUGGUAGACGACGAAAGCCCUUGGAAUUUCAAGUCGGGAAACGGGGAAAACUAAACCCACGAUACAUUGGACCAUUCGAGAUUCUUGCCCGAAUCGGUCUAGUGGCUUAUAGACUACAACUACCUACCGAGCUCAGCAGUGUACACCCCGUGUUCCAUGUUUCCAAUUUGAAGAAGUUCUUAUCCAAAGAAAUUCUCAUCAUCCAUUGGAAGAAAUCGAAAUCAACGAGAAUCUCCUAUUCAUCAAGGAACCAGUUGAAAUAAUGGACAGGGAAGUGAAGCGUACUAAGCAAAGUUGCAUUCCGAUUGUGAAAGUUCGGUGGAAAGCGAAAUGUGGACCGAAAUUCACAUGGGAACGUGAAGACCAAAUGAAGCAAAAGUACCCUCACCUAUUCUCGCAUUCUCAAAUCUAGCAUCAAAAAAAGAAUUUCGGGACGAAAUUCCCUCUAACGGGGGGAUGAUGUCACAACUAGGAAUUCUAAUGCUUUGUAAACAUUUAACAAUGAUAACAUUGUAACUAAAAAGUGAAAGCAUGUAUGGCGCUUAUUCAAUGACAACAAAAUUCCAUCAAACACUCUAUACAAACACUCAAAUAGUCAACAAAAGGUUGGAAACCCUAAGAAUCCCGAUUUAAGUCCAUUAUGGACUAGGAUUUCCUUAUUGGGCCUAGUAGACAAAUAAGGUUCCAAUUUGACUAUUUUGGGCUUAGAACUCUUGAAUGGGAUCUCAUUGGACCCACUCUCAUGAGACUUAACCUUUUUGUGCCUUAUAAGUCUAAAAUGGACUAGUUUGCCUUUAAUGAGCCUUAUUAGGCCAUAACAAAUCCAAUUAGCCUUAAUGGACUCAAUUCCAUUCUUUUAUGCAGGAUUUGGGCUGUGAACUACUCAGAAGAGCUUAAUGAGCCGAAAACCAUCAAAUUGGCCCUCAUAUUAUGGACUCAAGAACAAAAGGCCCAAGCCAUUCUCUUCCUUUUCUCUCUCUCUCUCUCUCUCUCUCUCUCUCUCCCUCUCUCUCUCGGGCCAAGUAGGAAAAAAGGGGGGAAGGAUGUAAAAAUUGGGAGGGUUGACUUUGGGGGUGUGCAACCUCCUUAUUGCACACCAUGUACCCAUCCAUUGACCAACAUGCAUCUAUAAUGGUCACGUCUCUCUCUCUCUCUCUCUCUCUCUCUCUCUCUCUCUCUUUUUCUUCUCCUUCUUCUACUCUCAUCCGAGGAUCACCAAACACACACUCACACAUAUCUUCAAACUCUCAUCCUAAACACUCUCAAGCACAUCCUCUUCUCCAUUCAAAUUUUCGAGAUUUUGGAACAUUUCAAGGAGGUUCUUCCACAAGAAUUAUCAUCCUAGGUAAGUUGAUGCUUGGAUCCACAAUCUAGUCUCUUUAUUUCAUCAAGAAUAUCUUCCAAACUAACACAAACUCAUGAUCAUCAUCCUAGAAAACUCUAAUUUUGAGAUCCACCCAAGAAGGCUUGCAAGGAUCAAAAUCUUCCAUUUCUUUCUUCAUAACCAAAAACAACAAGCAAAGGUGAGUUCAUACCCCUUUGUUUUUGAGUUUUACUUGUUUUUGGGGGAGAAUACAAGUAUUAUGUGAUGAUCUAUAUGUGUUUGGAUGCUAUAUGUGAAUUCUUUAGUUUAUGGUUGUUAUAAUAUGAAAUAUUGGUUAUAUUUCGAGAUUUAUAAUAAAAGGCUGAAAUAAUCAUGAACAAGAGCAUAAUGAACAACAUACCUCAUGGAUCUAAGGGUCUUUAAGUAUCAAAAGUGAAAAACAAAACCAAAAGAACCUUACAAGUGUCAUUUUUUCAAAACUAACAAAGAUUGGGUAUAAAUUGUAAUUUGACGGUUUUAUGAGGGUUAUGAGUUGAAUAUUUUCAUAAAAGCCGAUUUUUAUGAAAAUAAAUUUUAGCUUAAUGGGCUUAAAAGUGGGCCUAAUGGGUUUUGCGCCCAAAGUUGCGAAAAAAUGAGAAUUUGAGGGGUUGAAUUGGAAAAUUUAACAAACUACGGGUCUAAAAUGUAAGUAAAAUUUUUCAGGGGUUAAAAUGGAGUUUAUUACAAAAUUUGGACUAAAAAUGCAAAGUUUUUGAUUUUGGGGUCAAAAUUGUAAAACUUACGGAAAUUGGGCCAAAAAUGUAACUUUUUGAAAAUAAAGGUUGGAAAUGACAAUUGCUUUAGUUUUGGACUGAAAUUACUUAUCAAAUAAAGUUUGGGUGGUAAAUGUCAAUAAAAAUGGUUAGAGGACGAAAAAUGUAAGUUUUCGUAAAAAGGGACUAAAACUGUCAUUUUUAUAGAAAAAGGUGCCAUAAUGGCUAAUCUAAAUGUUUUUGGGCCAAAUAAACGAUUAAAACUUUUUGGGUUAAAAAUAUCAACUUUAUAACACAUAGUUUUAAAAAUAUGUAUACAUAUAAUAAAAACUUCAUUAUAAUUCAAAAGUUAAAAUGUUUGGUUAUUGCUAAUAAACAUUUAACAUACCACGAAUACCAACAAUACGAACUUAAACUCGAUAAAACAUAAGGGAUUCAAAAGUUGGGCACAACUACCUUCUAUAUGUGUUAUUGGGCCUUUGUGGCCCAAUAUCAUGUUGAAUGGGCCCGAUAUAUUCACACAUGUUUAUUGUGCCUCCUAAGACCCAAUUACAUGCCUAAGGGACCCUGAAUGGCUUUUACAUGCUAUUGGGCCUCAGUGGCCCGUUGGAAUUGCCUGUAAGGUCCAAAUCAAACAUAUGCAUGAUGGGCCAACGUGCCCGUCUCAUACUCGACAACCUAAAAUAACAUACAUGAUUAGUGGGCCUCUGCUGCCCUUUUCUCUUCGUCUGUUAGGCUUAUCUCUGUUAUUCAUGUAAACAUAAAAUUAGGUUGAUAAACAAGGUUAUUCAAAUUCAGUUGGAUUUAGUGGGAAAUAACGGGUGACAAUAUUAAGUGUCGGUCAUAGUCUUUAGUUAUAACUAGAGUCUCCUAGAGGGAGAGCGAGAGUUUGUGUAUAGAUCUAUAUGGGGGUGACACCCCCACACCUGAGCUGUUCGCUACAGCUAUACCCGGCCAGUCUAGGGUGAGAAAAUUUUAAAUCAAUUCUGGCAUUCGCUAGAAUGCCAAGACAGACGAACUAGUCAUUAUUAUGCAUGGUUAUAACGACUCACAUCGAGAUCCAACACCACCUAUGUAAUCAAGGGAAAAACAUAUUCAUUCGUGGUGUCGAUACAAUAACACAAAACUAUCAUACUAUUUAUAUCGAAAACAUCAGGUUUUUCAGGGGAACAACAUUAUUCAUUCCUAUACACAACAACUAUAAUAUGAUAAUAAAUUUUGAAUAACAAUUACUUCUACCUGUUUUUGAAAUCACAUACACAUGCACUUAUGGGAUCAUUUCAUAUUUUCGCAUCAGUCUUUGUACAUAAAAUAUCGGAUUUUCUGGGUUUUACAACGAUACAAACAAGUUUUAUAUCAAACAUGUUUAUGAACUCACCAACAUUAUAUAUGUUGAAGUUUUCAAAAUAACUUGUAUUCUCAGGUAACAGAUAAGCCGAAGAACAAUACCAAGUAUGUUAGGAUGUUAUAUUUUGAAAAAUUCUCAAACAAUUUAUGUUACGGAAGUGUAAUGUUUAAACUAUGUACUUGAUGUGAACAAUGUCAAAUGUACUAUGUAAUGUUGGUGAUGUAUGUGUUUUUCAUAUAUAUUCAUUGUGAUGAUAUUUCAAUUUAAGUCACACGAGCCCUCAGACGUUUCCACCAUCUGGUUCGGGGGUGUGAUAGUUAAAUCCAUGUUAGUGUGCCGGUUAACCACACAUGCUCCACUAAUGACUUAAGCAAGGUGCAAAGUGUAAUUUCAUGGGUUAGCACCAAAUUCACAUUUUCCUAAAGUAACUUAGAUUGGGAAUUUAUAAAAGGUUUAGUUACUUUAUAUUUAUCAUUAUACUUAUAAUGAGAAUUAUAGUCCUUGUCCUACCCUGUUCGACUAACAACCCUCCACCAGUCAAGAAAGCGGUGGUGAAAGUGGACACCCAUUAAGCUGCCAUUAUAUAUGCAGCAACCUUAUACCUCCCUUAUAGACCGGCUUCACGAAUGAGGCCUACUAACGGUAAGACUGACUUGAUCUUAUAUAUAUANGAGAGUGGACACCCAUUAAGUUGCCAUUUUAUAGGCAACAACCUUAUAGCCACCUUAUAGACCGGCUUCGUGAAUGAGGCAUACUAGCGGUAAGACUGACUUUACUCUUAU
Molecule: long non-coding RNA, 23385 nt
Filed under: Lactuca sativa (garden lettuce)
Lineage: Eukaryota; Viridiplantae; Streptophyta; Magnoliopsida; Asterales; Asteraceae
Description: long non-coding RNA (LSAT_LNC003186)
Source: RNAcentral